Molecule: unclassified non-coding RNA, 838 nt
Filed under: Hevea brasiliensis (rubber tree)
Lineage: Eukaryota; Viridiplantae; Streptophyta; Magnoliopsida; Malpighiales; Euphorbiaceae
Source: RNAcentral
CGGCGGUUUUCGUUUACAUGAUUAAUUACCUCAUGUCUAUGUCCACCCAAAUCUUCUCCGGCCACCUCGGAAACCUCGAACUCGCCGCUUCCUCUCUCGGCAACAAUGGCAUUCAAAUCUUCGCCUACGGUCUCAUGUUGGGGAUGGGAAGUGCGGUGGAAACUCUAUGCGGGCAGGCAUACGGUGCAGAGAAGAACGAUAUGCUUGGGAUUUAUUUACAGAGAUCAGCCAUAUUAUUGACUCUAACAGGGUUUGUGUUAACAGUUGUUUACAUAUUUUGCAAACCCAUCUUGAUAUUUUUGGGAGAAUCCAAGGAAAUUGCUUCGGCAGCGGAAAUAUUCGUGUACGGAUUGAUUCCUCAAAUAUUCGCGUACGCAAUAAACUUCCCAAUCCAGAAGUUUCUUCAGGCACAGAGCAUAGUGUUUCCGAGUGCUUACAUAUCGGCGGGGACGCUGGUGGUUCACGUGGUGCUGAGUUGGGUGGUGGCUUACAAAAUGGGGUUGGGGCUAUUGGGAGUGGCGUUGGUAUUGAGCUUGUCGUGGUGGAUAAUAGUGGUGGGGCAAUUUGUGUAUAUAGUUAAGAGUGAAAAGUGUAAACAAACAUGGAGAGGGUUUAGCGCGAAGGCGUUUUCGGGCUUGCCGGGAUUUUUCAAGUUGUCGGUGGCGUCGGCGGUGAUGCUGUGUUUAGAGACUUGGUAUUUCCAGAUUUUGGUGUUGCUUGCUGGAUUGCUCGAGAAUCCUGAACUUGCUCUCGACUCCCUUUCUAUAUGUACAACAAUAUCUGGAUGGGUUUUUAUGAUUUCAGUUGGCUUCAAUGCUGCCGCAAGUGUGAGAGUGAG